Molecule: transfer RNA, 67 nt
Filed under: Euwallacea fornicatus
Lineage: Eukaryota; Metazoa; Arthropoda; Insecta; Coleoptera; Curculionidae
Description: tRNA-Ser
Source: RNAcentral
AAGCUAAGUUAUUCAAGAAAAAGCUUCUAACUUUACUCUUAAGCAGUGAGACUCUGUUUUUAGCUUU